This 252-nucleotide ribosomal RNA is filed under the name uncultured bacterium. RNAcentral describes it as "partial 16S ribosomal RNA". It matches the Rfam family "Bacterial small subunit ribosomal RNA", at positions 524 to 776 of the family's 1533-position model. The record is from RNAcentral.
UACGGAGGAUGCGAGCGUUAUCCGGAUUUAUUGGGUUUAAAGGGUGCGUAGGCGGACUUUUAAGUCAGCGGUCAAAUCGUGAGGCUCAACCUCAUCCUGCCGUUGAAACUGGGAGUCUUGAGUGAGCGAGAAGUAUGCGGAAUGCGUGGUGUAGCGGUGAAAUGCAUAGAUAUCACGCAGAACUCCGAUUGCGAAGGCAGCAUACCGGCGCUCAACUGACGCUGAGGCACGAAAGCGUGGGGAUCAAACAGG